This 495-nucleotide ribosomal RNA is filed under the name Coconut lethal yellowing phytoplasma. Its description in RNAcentral is "bacterial SSU rRNA". It matches the Rfam family "Bacterial small subunit ribosomal RNA", at positions 743 to 1246 of the family's 1533-position model. Lineage: Bacteria; Bacillati; Mycoplasmatota; Mollicutes; Acholeplasmatales; Acholeplasmataceae. The record is from RNAcentral.
ACGCUGAGGCACGAAAGCGUGGGGAGCAAACAGGAUUAGAUACCCUGGGAGUCCACGCCGUAAACUAUGAGUACUAAGUGUCGGGGUUAAACUCGGUACUGAAGUUAACACAUUAAGUACUCCGCCUGAGUAGUACGUACGCAAGUAUGAAACUUAAAGGAAUUGACGGGAUCCCGCACAAGCGGUGGAUCAUGUUGUUUAAUUCGAGGAUACACGAAAAACCUUACCAGGUCUUGACAUACUCUGCAAAGCUAUAGAAAUAUAGUGGAGGUUAUCAGGGAUACAGGUGGUGCAUGGUUGUCGUCAGCUCGUGUCGUGAGAUGUUAGGUUAAGUUCUAAAACGAGCGCAACCCCUGUCGUUAAUUGCCAGCACGUUAUGGUGGGGACUUUAGCGAGACUGCCAAUGAAAAAUUGGAGGAAGGUGGGGAUUACGUCAAAUCAUCAUGCCCCUUAUGAUCUGGGCUACAAACGUGAUACAAUGGCUGUUACAAAGAG